Molecule: long non-coding RNA, 435 nt
Organism: Aedes aegypti (yellow fever mosquito)
Lineage: Eukaryota; Metazoa; Arthropoda; Insecta; Diptera; Culicidae
Exons: 3
Source: RefSeq, a predicted model, not a curated record
UUAUGGGUAAACAGCCUUUAUCCAUAUUUGAGUGAAAAUUUGAGGACUUCGCCAUUUUUUAUUGUCUUCGUGGAGAAUACAUCAGCUUAUAGUGUAUAUUAUUUUGUUCAUUAACUGAUUUCUGGUCAUGAUUAAUUUAAAUCGAAUAAAAAACAUAUUAGAAAAGGCACAACAAGAAAUCUCCUCCAAGAAACUCUUCUCUCGCCCUAUUUUAAUAACCGGGGAGCACAUAAUUCGGCCAAAUACAAAUCAAACACUGAAUAGGAUGUUGCAGAAGGAAGUACAAAGGCCGUUGAAGAUCAAUUCUAUGGAUAUUCCACUACCGAUCCAAGCUACCAGGACGACAUUCUUAGAAUAGUGUUGCUUCUUCAUUAUUAUGGUUGUAAAAAAUAAAUACUUUGAGUUCUAAUCAUCGCAAAUUUUCAAUUUAUUUGA